UACGGAGGGUGCAAGCGUUAUCCGGAUUCACUGGGUUUAAAGGGUGCGUAGGCGGACCGGUAAGUCAGUGGUGAAAUCUCUGGGCUUAACCCAGAAACUGCCGUUGAUACUAUUUGUCUUGAAUAUCCUGGAGGUAGGCGGAAUAUGUCAUGUAGCGGUGAAAUGCUUAGAUAUGACAUAGAACACCGAUAGCGAAGGCAGCUUACUACAGGAUGAUUGACGCUGAGGCACGAAAGCGUGGGGAGCAAACAGG
This 253-nucleotide ribosomal RNA is filed under the name uncultured bacterium. Its description in RNAcentral is "partial 16S ribosomal RNA". It matches the Rfam family "Bacterial small subunit ribosomal RNA", at positions 524 to 776 of the family's 1533-position model. The record is from RNAcentral.